UACGUAGGGUCCGAGCGUUGUCCGGAAUUAUUGGGCGUAAAGGGCUCGUAGGCGGUUCGUCACGUCGGGAGUGAAAACUCGGGGCUUAACUCCGGGCCUGCAGUGGGUACGGGCAGACUAGAGUGCGGCAGGGGAGACUGGAAUUCCUGGUGUAGCGGUGAAAUGCGCAGAUAUCAGGAGGAACACCGGUGGCGAAGGCGGGUCUCUGGGCCGUAACUGACGCUGAGGAGCGAAAGCGUGGGGAGCGAACAGG
This 253-nucleotide ribosomal RNA is filed under the name uncultured bacterium. Its description in RNAcentral is "partial 16S ribosomal RNA". It matches the Rfam family "Bacterial small subunit ribosomal RNA", at positions 524 to 776 of the family's 1533-position model. The record is from RNAcentral.